This 29-nucleotide non-coding RNA is filed under the name Rattus norvegicus (Norway rat). Lineage: Eukaryota; Metazoa; Chordata; Mammalia; Rodentia; Muridae. The record is from RNAcentral.
UAACAUGGCAGGUCUGACGGACUCCCAGU